CCCCUCGCACUUCACCGCCGUUACCACAGGCUAUGAACAAGAGCUAUCUGAUGUGCUGCUGAUUUGAAAGAAGCCUAAGGUUGAGGGUACACUUUUGAGUGCAUCAGGUUUUGGAGAAGAAAAAGCUUCAGGUGAUGUUUUUUCCUGGUUUCUGCUUGAUCGAGAUAGAAGAUGCUAGCAGUAAGCAGUGUGCUACUGGAUAAAAACAGAGCCAAGCAAAGAACCGGGUUGCUUCUUGUUGUGUGCGUUGCUUGAGAGAGAAGAUAGCAGAAAUGAGCUUCUCCAUCAGAACAUGAAGAGCUGAGAAGGAAAUUUGCUUCCUGCUAUACAAGGUUUCCUAAACUGCCAAGGUUGUGACACUCAAAUUGAGGGUUUGUUGCUAGAAAAUAAAUUGUGUCUUAGCCAUUAGUUGCUCUGAAACUAUUUAGCUUGCCUGCACCAUAUUGAGGGUAGGGCAGGUGCAUUCUCUUAUGGGAGUGACCAUCUAUGAGCUAGAUUUUAGUUGUGUCUCUGCUUGUGAUUGAAAUAAUGACCUGAAGUGGAUUUUAGGGUAGGGCAGGUGCAUAGAGUUUCCAAACCUAUGCUUAUGGGUUCUUACUCUGAUUUGUUGAAUGGAUCUGCAAUAUUAAAUAAUGGAGGUAGUGAAGAAUAUAUUGUGAACCACAUUUCUCUUGAUAUAUUGUAUCAUGUUUUUGGCCAGGAUGUUUUUUUGUACAAUUGACCAUUGAAGUAUUU
Long non-coding RNA from Panicum virgatum (switchgrass), 735 nucleotides. RefSeq lists it as uncharacterized. Lineage: Eukaryota; Viridiplantae; Streptophyta; Magnoliopsida; Poales; Poaceae. The record is from RefSeq and is a predicted model, not a curated record. The transcript has 3 exons.